UCCUACGGGAGGCAGCAGUGGGGAAUAUUGGACAAUGGGCGAAAGCCUGAUCCAGCCAUGCCGCGUGUGUGAAGAAGGUCUUCGGAUUGUAAAGCACUUUAAGUUGGGAGGAAGGGCAGUUACCUAAUACGUGAUUGUUUUGACGUUACCGACAGAAUAAGCACCGGCUAACUCCGUGCCAGCAGCCGCGGUAAUA
RNAcentral lists this ribosomal RNA (196 nucleotides) under uncultured Pseudomonas sp. RNAcentral's name for it is "16S ribosomal RNA". It matches the Rfam family "Bacterial small subunit ribosomal RNA", at positions 337 to 525 of the family's 1533-position model. The record is from RNAcentral. Lineage: Bacteria; Pseudomonadati; Pseudomonadota; Gammaproteobacteria; Pseudomonadales; Pseudomonadaceae.